CAAUAGCGUAUAUUUAAGUUGUUGCAGUUAAAAAGCUCGUAGUUGGAUUUUGGGUCGGGGGCACCGGUCCGCCGUUCCGGUGUGCACUGGUGGCCCCUUCCUUUCUGCCGGGGACGUGCGUCGCACUUAAUUGGGUGGCAUUCGGAGUCGGCGUUGUUACUUUGAAAAAAUUAGAGUGUUCAAAGCAAGCCAUCGCUCUGAAUACAUUAGCAUGGAAUAACAUGAUAGGACUCCGGUCUUAUUUUGUUGGUUUCCGAGACUGGAGUAAUGAUUAAGAGGGACAGUCGGGGGCAUCCGUAUUUCAUUGUCAGAGGUGAAAUUCUUGGAUUUAUGAAAGACGAACUUCUGCGAAAGCAUUUGCCAAGGAUGUUUUCAUUA
Molecule: ribosomal RNA, 378 nt
Filed under: uncultured eukaryote
Lineage: Eukaryota
Description: partial 18S ribosomal RNA
Rfam family: Eukaryotic small subunit ribosomal RNA
Source: RNAcentral